This 475-nucleotide ribosomal RNA is filed under the name uncultured bacterium. RNAcentral's name for it is "bacterial SSU rRNA". It matches the Rfam family "Bacterial small subunit ribosomal RNA", at positions 29 to 507 of the family's 1533-position model. The record is from RNAcentral.
AAUGAACGUUGGCGGCGUGGAUUAGGCAUGCAAGUCGUGCGAGAAGUUUUCUAGCUUGCUAGAGAAUGGACAGCGGCGAAAGGGAGAGUGACGCGUGGAUUAUCUGCCUCAAGAUCUGGGAUAGCGGCGGGAAACUGCCGGUAAUACCGGAUAAUGUCUCCGGACCAAAGGUGAGAUUCCGUCUUGAGAUGAGUCCGCGUCCUAUUAGCUUGUUGUGGGGUAAUGGCCUACCAAGGCUUAGAUGGGUACCGGGUGUGAGAGCAUGACCCGGCUCACUGGGACUGAGACACUGCCCAGACACCUACGGGUGGCUGCAGUCGAGAAUCUUCGGCAAUGGACGAAAGUCUGACCGAGCGACGCCGCGUGCGGGAUGAAUGCCUUCGGGUUGUAAACCGCUGUCAGAGAGGCGGGAAAUGCAUGGUGGCAAUCCAUCAUGUUUGACCUAUCCUCAGAGGAAGUACGGGCUAAGUUCGUG